Molecule: unclassified non-coding RNA, 2154 nt
Filed under: Neodiprion pinetum (white pine sawfly)
Lineage: Eukaryota; Metazoa; Arthropoda; Insecta; Hymenoptera; Diprionidae
Description: neuroglian-like, transcript variant X1
Source: RNAcentral
UGUACUACAAGCGGAUCGCCGCUUCGCAAGGCCGUAAAACAUCUUAUUUCGUCCGUAACUAUGUUACAUUAUAUAAGCGAUUAAAAAGAACGUUACUCCGUAACUCUAUACAGAUUCAAUUUUUGGUCGUGAUUUUGUGGAAUAAAUCGAUGUACUUGAAUUUUCAUGGUCCAAUUUGAGACUCUGGGAAUUAUAUCUAGGAUGACACAUCUCAUCGUGUUCUCUAUCGUACCCAUCGCAUUGACGAUUCUGCAUGUAUCUGCUCUAAGUCCAGAAAUUAUACGGGCACCUACCAAUGAGGCGACCGUAGAUGGGAAACAUGUUCGGAUUCCCUGCCGCGUUACCGGUGUUCCUGAACCUGAAGUCAAAUGGAUCAGAAACGGUGUAGAACUCACUGGAGGUAGGUACACAACCCUUGAAACUGGAGACCUCGAAAUUAGAAAUGUCAACUUCCUUGAUGCUGGGACUUACACAUGUUACGCGUCCAACAAUUUUGGCCAUGAUAAUGCCUCUGGUAUUCUUGUGGUGAAAAGACACACGACCAUCACUGAGGCACCUGAAAACUACGAAGUCGCUGCCAGAUCUACAGCAACAUUCAGAUGUAACGCUGUGACAGAUUCAAGUUUAACACUGACCAUUGACUGGCUGAGUAACGGAGAGCAGAUAGAUUUCGCCAUGGAGCCAAGGUUCAUCAAGAGCAACGAUAAUUCAUUGACUAUUACAAAUAUUAUAGACUUAGAUUCUGGAACGUACAAAUGUGUUGCUCGCACCGAGCUAGAUGAAACAAGCGCUGAAGCUACAUUGACAGUCCAAGAUGUGCCAAACGCACCUCGCUUAGAGGGAAUACAGUGCGGAAAAGAAGAAGCCAACAUCCGUUGGGUCUCCACGGGUGACAACAGAGCUCCCAUCUUGCGAUACACCAUCCAAUCCAACACCAGUUUCAACCCUGACACGUGGGAGGUUGCAAAGGACGAUAUUCCGACCACAAUGCAAACCUACAGCGUGCCACUGACGCCCUGGACCAAUACGACCUUUCGCGUUUUGGCAUGGAACAAAAUAGGAGUGUCGUUACCAUCGGUAUACAGCGAGACUUGUACCACUCCACCGGACGUCCCUCAUACCAACCCGAAGAACGUCAGAGCUGCGGGUACAAAUCCACAUAAUAUGAUCAUUAAAUGGACCCUGAUGCCUCGCACAGAGCACAAUGGGCCAGGGUUCAAGUACCGAGUGUUCUAUAAACGUGACAUAGACGGUGCAGAAUGGACUAUUAAAGAUAUAAACAACUGGAAAUUGCACAAGCUUCAGGUAGAUAAUCUGCCAACGUACCAGCGAUACAAGAUCAAAGUUGUGGCCAUUAAUAACCAAGGAGAGUCAAGGGUGGCGGUGAAUGAAGUCUUCGGUUACUCAGGAGAAGACGUGCCGCAAGAAGCUCCAGGGAACUUCACACUGUUGAAUGUAACCGGAAGUACGAGUGCAUUGUUCUCAUGGAACCCCGUACCAGAGGAGUCGAUUAGGGGAAAAUUUCUGGGUUACAAAAUCCAGACGUGGACAGACAAGAGUUCGGAGGAAAAUAUGACUGAGAGACAUGUAAACAAGGGCGCGAGUAGAUAUUUGUUCAAAAAAUUGGUACCAUUCAGCAGAAACUACGUCAGGAUUCUUGCAUACAAUAAAAGGUACUACGGCCCACCGUCGGAUACGCUCAGCUUUGAAACACCUGAGGGAGUUCCAGGAAUGGUCCGAUCGUUCGACGCAAAUCCUCUGGGAUUUGACGCGCUCAAUUUAACCUGGUCGAAGCCCGAACACCCCAAUGGAAUUCUCACAGGGUACAGAAUUUCCUAUCAAACCGUUUCAGGCACAGAAGUGGGACCCCUUCUUGAGAUGAGGCCGUCCGUCGCUGACCCAGAAGCCACUAGCGUCGAGCUACGUGGAUUGACCCCGGAAACUACGUACAGAAUCCAUAUUCGAGCCGCAACGAGAGCCGGGGAAGGUGAAGAGUAUUUUAUCGAACAAUCAACCGACAGCGCGGACGCAGCAGAUUAUUAUGACUAAUAAGUCGUUCAGAAUUUUCCGCCGGUUGGUGCAGUGAAAGUGGGCCGAGUAACAUUUGCCUGAAGGAAAAAUAAUUAAAACAAUAAUAUUUUAUAGAUCAGAAGA